UUAAUGAAUCAGUGGAAUGAUGGAACCACAUCUUUAUUAACUUUUAUCUGUACAGAAAAAAACAUCAUCAGUCACCAGAUCAUGCAAAGCAGUAUUGUGUUACGAAUAAAAACACAAUACAAACAAACAAUAUAUAUUUUACCAGAAAUAUGGAGCCUCAAAAAUAUAAAUCAAUCAAUCAAUAUAUUACAAAAAAUAAACUCCUGAGAUGACACUUACAUACAAAUACAAUAUGUUUUAAAUGACUUGCAACGUAGUACUGGAAAUGGAUCAUCAGACAGGUUGAUUAGCGGUUCUUAAGUUUUGAGAUUUUUUUUCUUUUUUUGUACAUAUGAUCUUGAAAUGCAGCAACUGAGCUGAAAAUGACCAGUCAUCGUACUGGGUUCAUUUCAGGUUGCCUUAAAUUCAGUCCCACAACACAAAAAGGAUUAAUCACAGAAACCAACAGUUAAACAUGGCAUAUUCAUCUGAAAACCAGUGUAAUAUCUGCGGUAAAAAGCAACCUGGAAAGUUGUGAUUGAAAGGAAUCUUAAAGGGAAUGUAAGAGUAAGGCAACAGAUACACAUAUCCUGUAUGUAUUUAUAUUUAUAAUAGGGUGACAGCACUCAACAGUUAAGUUGAGAUGUUAUUGCACUACUGUCUCAAUGUCUUCAUGAGAAUAAUCAACAAAUUACAAUACUGUUGAUAGAUCUACACAGAGGUGAAACAAGAAAUCACCAGUCACAGCUACAGAUGUGUCUUUCUACUCUUUGAAAUGCAUUCAGUUACUUAUCAGGAUUGAUUGUUCAGUCACCAAUAUGCUCGAACCAUUGGCAAUAAAUCCUGCCUGCAAUACUUAACUUAUCAAACACUUGAAGUGAAGGAAUGAAUCUCAAUUUGUAAUCGACCCAGGUCUGCACAGCUAACAAACGUAGCUGAAUUGAAAACAUGUUCACAAUAAAGCUACAACAUCUAGAGAGAAAGA
Long non-coding RNA from Trematomus bernacchii (emerald rockcod), 964 nucleotides. RefSeq lists it as uncharacterized. Lineage: Eukaryota; Metazoa; Chordata; Actinopteri; Perciformes; Nototheniidae. The transcript is spliced from 2 exons. The record is from RefSeq and is a predicted model, not a curated record.